Long non-coding RNA from Balaenoptera acutorostrata (minke whale), 854 nucleotides. RefSeq lists it as uncharacterized. The record is from RefSeq and is a predicted model, not a curated record. The transcript is spliced from 4 exons. Lineage: Eukaryota; Metazoa; Chordata; Mammalia; Artiodactyla; Balaenopteridae.
CCUACGGGUGUUUGCCUGGAGUUAGAGGGAAUCCCCGGGAAUUAUAGUCUCGCGGGAUUGACUCUGAGGGAACGGGUCCCAGGGUACCAGUAGGCGCGCCCUUGCACGCCUUCACUUUUCAGCCCUGUCACACCUGCGAAGUCUACUGUGUUGUCUUUCAACCCUAUAAUUUACUCUUCCCCGCUUUAAGAGCGGCCUGUUCACUAAAACAUAAACCCAUGCUCAGAACUCGACUUUUCCUCCCUUGAACUUCUCCGCCUUCAAGACUCUCCAGUGACAGUGUAGCUGCCUGGACUCAUGGCAGACCUCGUCGCAAAAAGUUGCUAUGUACCGGGACACAGGAGUGCUGAGUUAUAGGCAGUUGGCUUGCUAAGAUGGGAAAAGCAAGACACAGAGAGGUGAAGUAAGUUGUACAAAGUCCAACAGCAAGUGAUGGAAUCACCAGCAGAACCCAAGCAUCAGAUUCCAGAGCCGCAUACUUAGCCACUGAUAUACUGCCUCCCACAAAUGGUGCCUCAAGCUCAUCAGGUUAUCCCUAAAGUGACUUAGGCGCUGAGGAUACAGCGGUGAACCUGGCAAAGCCCCCAGGCGGAGGAAACAGGAAGCAGCCCUCCAGAGAUGAAAUGCCAGGGUUGGCAGGAGAUUCCAAGCGGACUCGAACCCACAUCUACCGGCCCCGCAUCUGCAGUCCGACCCAAUACGGAGGACAAGCGUUGGCAGCGGAGCACUGACAGUAGAAGGAAGGAUUGCCAGCUGAACAGUGAAGCUUAGUGGUUCGGAGCACAGGACUUUGGAGCCGGCUCAUAUAGACACUUGAGUGCUGACUCCACAUCUUUUCCAGCUCUACAUGCAGG